CUAAAUGCCCAACUCAAGCGCUGAAGUGGGGAAAAUUCUUUGGAUGCCCAACUCGAGCUGAGAAAUGCUUCCACAUCUGCAUAUUUGGAUGAUUGAACUAUCUACGGUUUUGUGAAUAGAGCUUUUGAAACAAUGUUGUCAUGGCUGGGAUUAAAGUUCUAGCGAUAUAGAUAGAAAUGUUGCUCAAGAUGCUCGAAGGAAUUCAUAACAAUCAAGUUCACAAGGAUUCAACUCCAGCAGAUACUGUGUACAGCUGACAGCAACCCACGGUGGUGUUGCACAUAUAUUCUUGAGGCAUCUGAUCCCUUAUUUGUGGAAAUUGGGAAGUCUUUUAUUGAAGAACAAAUCAAAGGUCUGUACUUCUAAAAUGAUAUUGAGUGACCGAGGUUGAUUUCGAAGAUUAUGUCUCUAGGCCCGGAUAAAAUCAGCAUGUUAUGUGAUUGUCUGGAUAUGUUUGAU
Long non-coding RNA from Lolium rigidum, 459 nucleotides. RefSeq lists it as uncharacterized. The transcript has 4 exons. NCBI's taxonomy places the organism in Eukaryota, Viridiplantae, Streptophyta, Magnoliopsida, Poales, Poaceae. The record is from RefSeq and is a predicted model, not a curated record.